UUGCAGAGAAAAUAAAAAUAGAACCAUGAAUAACCCAUUGGCUAUUUGCACAACCAUUUUAUUUUAAUUUCAUUGAUGGAACGAACAUGGAAAACUGCAGUUUGAUACCUGGUGCUGUUACGAAGGGAAAGAUCUGUCAACUCCUUUAUUCAAAUCUAUUGUCUCUUCUCAAAAUUGUUCUCUCUAUAGAUAAUAUCCCAGUAUGA
This 206-nucleotide unclassified non-coding RNA is filed under the name Hevea brasiliensis (rubber tree). The record is from RNAcentral. Lineage: Eukaryota; Viridiplantae; Streptophyta; Magnoliopsida; Malpighiales; Euphorbiaceae.